CUUUACUGCAGCUUGGCAGUGAACUUCGGAUUGUUCUGCGUAGGAUAGGUGGGAGGCUUUGAAGUCGGGUUCCCGGAUUCGGCAGAGCCAACGUUGAAAUACCACCCUGGACAAUCUGGGGUUCUAACUCAGGUCCGUAACCCGGACCGAGGACACUGCCUGGUGGGCAGUUUGACUGGGGCGGUCGCCUCCAAAAACGUAACGGAGGCGUGCGAAGGUUCCCUCAGGCUGAUUGGAAACCAGCCGUAGAGUGCAAACGCAUAAGGGAGCUUAACUGUGAGACUGACAAGUCGAGCAGGUGCGAAAGCAGGUGUUAGUGAUCCGGUGGUUCCACAUGGAAGGGCCAUCGCUUAUCGGAUAAAAGGUA
RNAcentral lists this ribosomal RNA (367 nucleotides) under uncultured organism. RNAcentral describes it as "bacterial LSU rRNA". It matches the Rfam family "Bacterial large subunit ribosomal RNA", at positions 2099 to 2465 of the family's 2925-position model. The record is from RNAcentral.